CCGUAUAGGGGAGCCGGAGGGAAACCGAGUCUUAACCGGGCGUUAAGUUGCAGGGUAUAGACCCGAAACCCGGUGAUCUAGCCAUGGGCAGGUUGAAGGUUGGGUAACACUAACUGGAGGACCGAACCGACUAAUGUUGAAAAAUUAGCGGAUGACCUGUGGCUGGGGGUGAAAGGCCAAUCAAACCGGGAGAUAGCUGGUUCUCCCCGAAAGCUAUUUAGGUAGCGCCUCGUGAAUUCAUCUCCGGGGGUAGAGCACUGUUUCGGCUAGGGGGCCAUCCCGGCUUACCAACCCGAUGCAAACUGCGAAUACCGGAGAAUGUUAUCACGGGAGACACACGGCGGGUGCUAACGUCCGUCGUGAAGAGGGAAACAACCCAGACCGCCAGCUAAGGUCCCAAAGUCAUGGUUAAGUGGGAAACGAUGUGGGAAGGCCCAGACAGCCAGGAUGUUGGCUUAGAAGCAGCCAUCAUUUAAAGAAAGCGUAAUAGCUCACUGGUCGAGUCGGCCUGCGCGGAAGAUGUAACGGGGCUAAACCAUGCACCGAAGCUGCGGCAGCGACGCUGAUGCGUUGUUGGGUA
RNAcentral lists this ribosomal RNA (580 nucleotides) under Salmonella enterica. RNAcentral's name for it is "partial 23S ribosomal RNA". It matches the Rfam family "Bacterial large subunit ribosomal RNA", at positions 653 to 1230 of the family's 2925-position model. Lineage: Bacteria; Pseudomonadati; Pseudomonadota; Gammaproteobacteria; Enterobacterales; Enterobacteriaceae. The record is from RNAcentral.